Molecule: ribosomal RNA, 460 nt
Filed under: uncultured bacterium
Lineage: Bacteria
Description: partial 16S ribosomal RNA
Rfam family: Bacterial small subunit ribosomal RNA
Source: RNAcentral
CCUACGGGUGGCAGCAGUGAGGAAUAUUGGUCAAUGGACGAGAGUCUGAACCAGCCAAGUAGCGUGAAGGAUGACUGCCCUAUGGGUUGUAAACUUCUUUUAUAAAGGAAUAAAACGAGGCACGUGUGCCUUUUUGCAUGUACUUUAUGAAUAAGGAUCGGCUAACUCCGUGCCCGCAGCCGCGGUAAUACGGAGGAUCCGAGCGUUAUCCGGAUUUAUUGGGGUUAAAGGGAGCGUAGGUGGGUUGUUAAGUCAGUUGUGAAAGUUUGCGGCUCAACCGUGAAAUUGCAAUUGAUACUGGCAGUCUUGAGUACAGUUGAGGUAGGCGGAAUUCGUGGUGUAGCGGUGAAAUGCUUAGAUAUCACGAAGAACCCCGAUUGCGAAGGCAGCUUACUAAACUAUGACUGACAUUGAUGCUCGAAAGUGUGGGUAGCAAACAGGAUUAGAUACCCCAGUAGUC